UUAGAUUUAUUACUCCAUCAAAUUGAAAACAACAUACAGGCUACCAGAGUCUUGAUUUCAUCCCAUGUUUGCAUCAAAAAAGAAACAAGCACAACUGCAGACAUGUCAGACCAGGAGCCCAAUUAGAGAAUGGAAGAAUAGAGAUGCAUUGGAAACCUUGGGAUAUGUGGCUGUGCUCCUCAAACAGUGCAGAAUCAGUUCAACCCAGCUCAAAACACUGGGAAGAGAGAGAAGGAGUGAGGAGAAUGGGUCCUACUACUGACAGUACUGUCUCUGGUCAUGUGAGGGGUCUGCUGAUGGAGAAAGGUCUCCUAGAAGUCCAGCCACAAGCAGAAACAUUACUGCAAUCAGGUGCUCUACAAAGAAUACAGUCACCUUUUUCAACAUUAUAAAAGUAAUCACUCGCUUGCCAAGCUCAUCUUGAAUUAAGGGCAAGCUCCUAUUUCUUUAUACUAAAAAUGCUUUUUAUGGGUCCAACCUGAACCACUCACAAAUGAAAGCUUCAUGAAAAGUGAAGUGAGAAGGUCAACUGCCUGCAGCAUCACCUACAACAGACCUAACGAAGGGCCACCAGAGCUCCUGUGGGGUAUACUGAGCGUGACUUCCUACUGAACACAUUGAAGAAGCACCCACCCAGCUGAUCCUCUGGCAGCACCUUGCCCGCACUGGAAUGAUGCUGUAACAGGGAUAAACACACUCCCAAAACAAACCUGGAGAAAAUAAUUAUUAACAAUCAAGAUCAAAGUACAGGUAAUGGAAAGCAUGUGUACCUUUUGAGACAGCUGCUCUGUACAGAGCUUUUAUUGCUACCUGUUAUACCUCAAGCCAUAAAACCAAUUGUUUUUGCAAAGUCAAAUAAUACAGACCCCUCAAACAUCAAGGGCACCAAUUUUAAGUUCAUGGAAAGAAGCCAAAAUGCAGUUCAAUCACUGCAGUAGGUAAAGUAUGCUGACAUUUGAACGGUGCAGCACAAGAACUGAUGGGAAAAUUGGGAAGGCCCUUUGUCUCAGAGUGCAGGAUGGCAGCAGUUUCCAACACAGUGCAGCCAAUUGACAAGAGCAAAUCUGGAGCCCACAGAAAAUGCAGCAUAACAAAGCUCCUCU
This 1103-nucleotide long non-coding RNA is filed under the name Strigops habroptila (Kakapo). RNAcentral's name for it is "lncRNA (ENSSHBG00005015043.1)". The record is from RNAcentral. Lineage: Eukaryota; Metazoa; Chordata; Aves; Psittaciformes; Psittacidae.